Rattus norvegicus (Norway rat) is the source of this 69-nucleotide non-coding RNA. Lineage: Eukaryota; Metazoa; Chordata; Mammalia; Rodentia; Muridae. The record is from Rfam.
GGGGAUUUAGCUCAGUGGUAGAGCGCUUGCCUAGCAAAUGCAAGACCCUGGGUUCGGUCCCCAGCUCCG